UACGUAUGGUGCAAGCGUUAUCCGGAUUUACUGGGUGUAAAGGGUGCGUAGGUGGUAUGGUAAGUCAGAAGUGAAAGCACGGGGCUCAACCCCGUGACUGCUUUUGAAACUAUCAAACUAGAGUCCAGGAGAGGUAAGCGGAAUUCCUAGUGUAGCGGUGAAAUGCGUAGAUAUUAGGAGGAACACCAGUGGCGAAAGCGGCUUACUGGACUGGUACUGACACUGAGGCACGAAAGCGUGGGGAGCAAACAGG
RNAcentral lists this ribosomal RNA (253 nucleotides) under uncultured Lachnospiraceae bacterium. RNAcentral's name for it is "partial 16S ribosomal RNA". It matches the Rfam family "Bacterial small subunit ribosomal RNA", at positions 524 to 776 of the family's 1533-position model. Lineage: Bacteria; Bacillati; Bacillota; Clostridia; Lachnospirales; Lachnospiraceae. The record is from RNAcentral.